Molecule: ribosomal RNA, 714 nt
Filed under: Lithophyllum incrustans
Lineage: Eukaryota; Rhodophyta; Florideophyceae; Corallinales; Lithophyllaceae
Description: SSU rRNA
Rfam family: Eukaryotic small subunit ribosomal RNA
Source: RNAcentral
UUUUUGGGGGCCACAGCCGCGGUAAUUCCAGCUCUGUAAGCGUAUACCAAAGUUGUUGCAGUUAAAACGCUCGUAGUCGGACUUUGGCAGUUCCGGGAGUGUGCGCGUCGUGCGCACGCUUUGCGGGGACUGCUUUUGUGGUAUUGCGUGGGAUGAAGCAUUUUAAUUAAUGAACGUCCCUCCGCAACCACUUUUUACUGUGAGAAAAUCAGAGUGCUCAAAGCAGGCAUUUGCCGUGAAUGUAUUAGCAUGGAAUAAUAGAAUAGGACUUAGUUCUAUUUUGUUGGUUUGUUGGGACUGAGUAAUGAUUAAGAGGGACAGUUGGGGGUAUUUGUAUUUCGGCGCUAGAGGUGAAAUUCUUAGAUUGCCGAAAGACAAACUGCUGCGAAAGCGUCUACCAAGGAUGUUUUCAUUGAUCAAGAACGAAAGUAAGGGGAUCGAAGACGAUCAGAUACCGUCGUAGUCUUUACUAUAAACGAUGAGGACUGGGGAUCGGGCGAGGCAUUACGAUGACCCGCCCGGCACCCUUCGAGAAAUCAAAGUGUUUGCUUUCUGGGGGGAGUAUGGUCGCAAGUCUGAAACUUAAAGGAAUUGACGGAAGGGCAUCACCGGGUGUGGAGCCUGCGGCUUAAUUUGACUCAACACGGGAAAACUUACCAGGUCAGGACAUAGUGAGGAUUGACAGAUUGAGAGCUCUUUCUUGAUUCUAUGGGU